This 497-nucleotide ribosomal RNA is filed under the name uncultured bacterium. RNAcentral describes it as "partial 16S ribosomal RNA". It matches the Rfam family "Bacterial small subunit ribosomal RNA", at positions 28 to 507 of the family's 1533-position model. The record is from RNAcentral.
GAUGAACGCUGGCGGCGUGCCUAAUACAUGCAAGUCGAGCGAACAGACGAGGAGCUUGCUCCUCUGACGUUAGCGGCGGACGGGUGAGUAACACGUGGAUAACCUACCUAUAAGACUGGGAUAACUUCGGGAAACCGGAGCUAAUACCGGAUAAUAUAUUGAACCGCAUGGUUCAAUAGUGAAAGACGGUUUUGCUGUCACUUAUAGAUGGAUCCGCGCCGCAUUAGCUAGUUGGUAAGGUAACGGCUUACCAAGGCAACGAUGCGUAGCCGACCUGAGAGGGGGAUCGGCCACACUGGAACUGAGACACGGUCCAGACUCCUACGGGAGGCAGCAGUAGGGAAUCUUCCGCAAUGGGCGAAAUCCUGACGGAGCAACGCCGCGUGAGUGAUGAGGGUCUUCGGAUCGUAAAACUCUGUUAUUAGGGAAGAACAAAUGUGUAAGUAACUAUGCACGUCUUGACGGUACCUAAUCAGAAAGCCACGGCUAACUACGUG